AGUCUUAACCGGGCGUUAAGUUGCAGGGUAUAGACCCGAAACCCGGUGAUCUAGCCAUGGGCAGGUUGAAGGUUGGGUAACACUAACUGGAGGACCGAACCGACUAAUGUUGAAAAAUUAGCGGAUGACCUGUGGCUGGGGGUGAAAGGCCAAUCAAACCGGGAGAUAGCUGGUUCUCCCCGAAAGCUAUUUAGGUAGCGCCUCGUGAACUCAUCUCCGGGGGUAGAGCACUGUUUCGGCUAGGGGGCCAUCCCGGCUUACCAACCCGAUGCAAACUGCGAAUACCGGAGAAUGUUAUCACGGGAGACACACGGCGGGUGCUAACGUCCGUCGUGAAGAGGGAAACAACCCAGACCGCCAGCUAAGGUCCCAAAGUCAUGGUUAAGUGGGAAACGAUGUGGGAAGGCCCAGACAGCCAGGAUGUUGGCUUAGAAGCAGCCAUCAUUUAAAGAAAGCGUAAUAGCUCACUGGUCGAGUCGGCCUGCGCGGAAGAUGUAACGGGGCUAAACCAUGCACCGAAGCUGCGGCAGCGACACUCAGGUGUUGUUGGGUAGGGGAGCGUUCUGUAAGCCUGUGAAGGUGUGUCGUGAGGCAUGCUGGAGGUAUCAGAAGUGCGAAUGCUGACAUAAGUAACGAUAAAGCGGGUGAAAAGCCCGCUCGCCGGAAGACCAAGGGUUCCUGUCCAACGUUAAUCGGGGCAGGGUGAGUCGACCCCUAAGGCGAGGCCGAAAGGCGUAGUCGAUGGGAAACGGGUUAAUAUUCCCGUACUUGGUGUUACUGCGAAGGGGGGACGGAGAAGGCUAUGUUGGCCGGGCGACGGUUGUCCCGGUUUAAGCGGGUAGGUGUGUGUUCCAGGUAAAUCCGGUCCACUUUAACACUGAGGCGUGAUGACGAGGCACUACGGUGCUGAAGCAACAAAUGCCCUGCUUCCAGGAAAAGCCUCUAAGCAUCAGGUAACAUCAAAUCGUACCCCAAACCGACACAGGUGGUCAGGUAGAGAAUACCAAGGCGCUUGAGAGAACUCGGGUGAAGGAACUAGGCAAAAUGGUGCCGUAACUUCGGGAGAAGGCACGCUGACACGUAGGUGAAGUGAUUUACUCA
Molecule: ribosomal RNA, 1101 nt
Filed under: Salmonella enterica
Lineage: Bacteria; Pseudomonadati; Pseudomonadota; Gammaproteobacteria; Enterobacterales; Enterobacteriaceae
Description: partial 23S ribosomal RNA
Rfam family: Bacterial large subunit ribosomal RNA
Source: RNAcentral